GGAGGGUAUAGCUCAGUGGUAGAGUGUGUGCUUAGCAUGCACGAGGUCUUGGGUUCAAUUCCCAGUACCUCCA
RNAcentral lists this transfer RNA (73 nucleotides) under Vicugna pacos (alpaca). Its description in RNAcentral is "tRNA-Ala (AGC) (tRNA-Ala-AGC-492-1)". It matches the Rfam family "tRNA". Rfam says of the family: Transfer RNA (tRNA) molecules are approximately 80 nucleotides in length. Their secondary structure includes four short double-helical elements and three loops (D, anti-codon, and T loops). Further hydrogen bonds mediate the characteristic L-shaped molecular structure. tRNAs have two regions of fundamental functional importance: the anti-codon, which is responsible for specific mRNA codon recognition, and the 3' end, to which the tRNAs corresponding amino acid is attached (by aminoacyl-tRNA synthetases). tRNAs cope with the degeneracy of the genetic code in two manners: having more than one tRNA (with a specific anti-codon) for a particular amino acid; and 'wobble' base-pairing, i.e. permitting non-standard base-pairing at the 3rd anti-codon position. The record is from RNAcentral. Lineage: Eukaryota; Metazoa; Chordata; Mammalia; Artiodactyla; Camelidae.